RNAcentral lists this unclassified non-coding RNA (2816 nucleotides) under Hevea brasiliensis (rubber tree). Lineage: Eukaryota; Viridiplantae; Streptophyta; Magnoliopsida; Malpighiales; Euphorbiaceae. The record is from RNAcentral.
CCCUCUCUGUCUCUUCUCAUUUUCUUUUCUUUCACGAACCUCUCUUAGUCUAUUCUCAUUCUCUUGCCGUUCAACAGCCUCUCUUUGUCUUCUCAGUCUCUCUUCCUUCUCACCAGUCUCCUUCAGUAUCCUCUCAUUCUCUUUCUUCUCAAGAGCCUCUUUCAGUCUCCUCUUUUUUUCUUCCCGCCUAAGUGUCUCCCUUAGUCUCUUCUCAUGUUCUUCUCUUUCAUAAGCUUCUCUCCGUAUCUUCUCAUUUUCUUCCCACUCAUGAACCGCCUUUAUCAUCUUCUCUUUUUCUUCCUGCUCAAGUGCCUUCUUCAGCCUUCUAUCAUUAUCUGCUAGUUCAAGAGGCACAUUAAGUUUUUUCUCAUUUUCUUCAAGCUCAAAAGCCUUUAUUUCUCUCCUUUCACAUUCAUCCUUUUCACCAGUGAAUUUUUUCACAUCCUCCACACUUUUAUUAUCCUCUUUUAGCUGUGAUCCUUUCUCCUUGUGCUUCAUAGACAGCCUAGCUGCAAUUUUAUUUUCUCUCUGUUGAACCUCUAAAGAGUUCUCAUGUUUCUGUAGGUCAUCAGCUAUAGUUUGUUGCUUUUCAGUUUCUACAGGUUUCCAGUCCAUGUUAUAUUUCUUCUCAUUCCCUUCCCAUCUAAAUGCCUCUUGAGCCACUUGUACCUUCUUAUCAAGUCCUUUCUGUACCACUUCUGAUCUCCCACUGCUUUUGUCCUGUUCAAAAGCUUCCAUUGACUCUUCAGAUUUCUUCUCAUAUUCCACCAGUCCAUAAUCUGUUCUAACUGCUUUUACUUUCUUGUCAUUUCUUUGGGGCCGCUGCAAUGCUUCCAUAGUCACCCUUUUUUCCUUCUUCCCAUACUCAUGAAAAUUUGAAUUAUGCACCAAAAUAUUUUCAUUGUUUUCCUGGUCAAAGGCCUUUCUAGAGUUAUUGGUUACCAAUUCAAAAAACUGAGUAGCUUCUGUCCAUUCACCAUCACCAUCAGAACCUCGAGAUGAUGAGGAUUCCCUUCCAUGAUUAUACUCCGCAGAUUUAUUGGCCACAUUAUGUUUUUUACCUUCUAAUGAAUCUGAAAUUGGCUGUGUUGUCCUUUUAACUUUUUGCAUCUCCUUCGAGAUAGAAAAUUCCAUUCCAUUUUCUUCUAUUUGACUAAUGCCCUGCCCUCUCUCCUCCUUUCUGCCACCAGAGCCAUUACCAAUCUUAGUCAACUUUUCACCCUUGUCUUUUCUGUCAGUCUUUGAACAUGAUUUCACACGGUUUUGAAAACCAUCCCUCUUCCUCUCCAUUGAUUCUUUUGCACUUUUGAGCUUUGCUUGAGCUUUCUCCAUUGCUUCUUUCAUAGCAGCAGCAGAGGCUGCAGCAGAUGAACUUGCAUCUACCUCCACAUCAAAGUAAGGAGGUGAACUAUCACCAGUGGUCUCUUCAGAGGCAACACUUUUACAGUUAGUUGUUGUUUUACCAGAAUCUCCAUUGAAGAUAUCUAGUGCAGGUGGUGGUCUAGAAGGUGGCGGCAAAUGAGAAGGCUGAGUUCUAAGGCUAACAUCAGAAAUGGUUACAAACAUCUCAUUUGGAAGAGAGCCAUUCCUGACAAAUUCCUUGUGAGGUCUAACAUCAUCUCCAAAAAACAGUACAUCAGUAUUAGUACCAGUAGCCGGGUGAGACAUGACUUUUCUGAGAUGCCUUCCACUCAACAUUUCCCCACUAUAGUGAAUAUUGAGAUGAUCAUCAUUGCUUGCCUGCAGAUGUUGGUACUCGUAGUCUGUCUUUGGCAAGGAAGAGGUUUUAUCAACCACAAAAGUAUAUCCAGAAACAGGAUGCGGCUGAGUUAUAUGUGUAAUCCCAUUUGACAAAUCUCCAUUGCUUCUUUUACUAACUUUAUUAUAAGAUAAGUUGAACUCCAUGUCGCCAUCAAUUGAGUCACAUGAGUCUCCAUUCAAUAAGCAUUGGUCCUUUGCAGAAUGAUUAGACUCAUCUGAUAGAAUUUCAGCUUCUGCUGGAGCCCAAGCCUCGUCAGAGGAGGAAUCAUCACCAAGACCGUUGGAUUGCUCCAUCAUCAACAACUCAUUGUACGACACUGCAAAAUCAUAGCCAUUGAAUCCUCCAAAAACCUCACCGUAGUCAAAACCGGAGCUAAGUACAUCGAAGAAAACAUCGGCCGCCUCAUCGACCAAUGGGAGAUCGAGAACGGGAAUCGAGGAGGCGCGUGAAGAGUGGAAACCGCCGAAUAUCUCGCGGUAAUCCUCAACCCGGGGCGACAGUGUCGGGGUUCCAAACCUGGGCGGCCCGCCGAACACAUCUUCGUAAAUGGACUUGGUGGUGUUGCCAUUGCAGCUCUUUUUGGAAAGCAUGUUUAGUUGCCGAGAAUGCGAAAGAUUUUCCAUGAAACUGAAGGAAACAGGCAGAGCACUCUAGCAUUUACGCGUUUUCUAGUGCACUGAGUGAGUUUACCCCCGCUUUGUUGCUUGGCUCUAUUUUGUUUGCUUUUGUUCUCUCUCUUCUCCUCCUCCGCAGAGGCUCUGCAGAGUCUGAAACAGUUCAACAAAAAGAAAAAAAAAAGAAAAGACAAACAACACAAGCCAAAAGAACAAAAAAAAAUGGAAUCAAGAAAUGACAGAAAAGGACUUGAAUUAUUGUGCAGGGAAUUAUUUUUUAUUUCCAAUAUUUCAAAAUAAAGCACCCCAACCUCCUAUUUGAAAAAAAAAUUUGUAACUUUUUUUAGUGAGAGAAGGAGAGUUUCGGCAAAGGUGUUUGAUUUCGGCGAUGGGCAACGGCGGUGGAUGUGACGUUGAGAGAGGCGAAAGUGGCGGAGAAA